UGUUGACACUUUUGGCCCCUAUAGUUUGAAAUACUUCACUUUUGUGCAAUUUCCGCGUCGUAUGAUCCAUGAACCAUCCGUUAAAGGUUAUAAACAUUAUGUGGGGUUAUCAUAGAGCCUAUUUAUCCAUUGUUGACACUUUGGACCCUUACUAUGUUUUCACAUAACGGAACCUUAUGACACGUGUCAAGACAUUAUUGGACGAAAUUUUUCGAGGUGUUACAUCCUCACC
This 232-nucleotide long non-coding RNA is filed under the name Helianthus annuus (common sunflower). RNAcentral's name for it is "sRNA HanXRQr2_Chr12g0535031". The record is from RNAcentral. Lineage: Eukaryota; Viridiplantae; Streptophyta; Magnoliopsida; Asterales; Asteraceae.